Long non-coding RNA from Pimephales promelas (fathead minnow), 963 nucleotides. RefSeq lists it as uncharacterized. NCBI's taxonomy places the organism in Eukaryota, Metazoa, Chordata, Actinopteri, Cypriniformes, Leuciscidae. The record is from RefSeq and is a predicted model, not a curated record.
GGCAUAAAGUGCCUUCCGUUGGUCCCCUUAAACAUUGGCAUUGUCCUCUAGUGGACAGAGUCCACAAUUGAUUAGUCAGAUCAAUCAGUGUGGCCCUGGGCUGCUGUUGCUCGCUCUGACGCAUACCAAAGGGGGUCGGCAAGUGGUGCAUCGACUGCAAGAGUGCCGCUGGUCCACAAAAACACACACACUCAUUUGAGAACAGCACCCAUUUGCACACCAUGCAGCCCAAGGCCUGGUAUUUCAGACUCUAAACGCAGAGGCACAGGAAGAGUCAGGGACAGAUGGAUUUAAAGACUGAGCCAGAUCCAGCCACCCUGGCCAGGUGGAGACUCAAGGGACAGGGACACCGUUGUGUCCAGAUUGACCUGAGCUCAUGGAUGAGCCUUGAGAUGUGAGGAUUAUUCACAGGAGCCUGCGUCACUACAAACAGUCCAUGGAGUUGUCUGGCACCAGGCCAAGCGGAGGGGCUUUUCCUGGGGCGCAGGACGGCGGCAGCAUGGCGUUGGGUGCGGGGUCCACGUUCUCCGAAUCCUCCAUUUUCUCAGCACAUCCCUCCCAGUUGAUGUGAAAUCUGGUUACACGAGGGUUGGAAGCCAGAAUGUUCCUCUGGAGCUGAGAGAAAUGCACAAGAAGAAAGACACUUUAAUUUGACCCAUUUCGAGUUUUGAGUUGACUGAAAUGCCUGUUUUUGUCCCCUUGACAUUGUGACUUUCUCAAACAUGUACGCAAACGUUCAACACGCUGACGCACACACAUCAUUUCUAUUACAUUUUUGAGUUAAUGCACAGCCCCAAAAUAACUUUUCUGGUUAUAUUUUGUUAUGUUAUGUAUAAAAAGCAGCUUUUCCCCACUUAUUUCAAUACUGAAAGAUAUUGUUUUAGCCACAUAUAAGAAUAAGCGAUAAUUUAUGUUGUUCAAGCUGUCUGAAAUACUAUUAAACCCAUGUUGUUUUUCUUGAAA